This 492-nucleotide ribosomal RNA is filed under the name uncultured bacterium. RNAcentral describes it as "partial 16S ribosomal RNA". It matches the Rfam family "Bacterial small subunit ribosomal RNA", at positions 29 to 507 of the family's 1533-position model. The record is from RNAcentral.
AGUGAGCGCUGGCGGUAGACCUAACACAUGCAAGUCGAACGGCAGCACAGUAAGAGCUUGCUCUUACGGGUGGCGAGUGGCGGACGGGUGAGGAAUACAUCGGAAUCUACUUUUUCGUGGGGGAUAACGUAGGGAAACUUACGCUAAUACCGCAUACGACCUACGGGUGAAAGCAGGGGAUCUUCGGACCUUGCGCGAUUGAAUGAGCCGAUGUCGGAUUAGCUAGUUGGCGGGGUAAAGGCCCACCAAGGCGACGAUCCGUAGCUGGUCUGAGAGGAUGAUCAGCCACACUGGAACUGAGACACGGUCCAGACUCCUACGGGAGGCAGCAGUGGGGAAUAUUGGACAAAGGGCGCAAGCCUGAUCCAGCCAUACCGCGUGGGUGAAGAAGGCCUUCGGGUUGUAAAGCCCUUUUGUUGGGAAAGAAAAGCAGCAGGUUAAUACCCCGCUGUUCUGACGGUACCCAAAGAAUAAGCACCGGCUAACUUCGUG